GCUCUCAUGUGGUCUCUCUCAGUGUGUGAUUCUUUCCACAUGACCUUAAUAAAAUAAAUUUUGCAGUUGCGGAGUAAUCUACUCUUUCGGUCCACAAUAUCGACUGAUACUUACUCGUAGGACAGAUUCUCAUAGAGUGGAAGAGUCUCGUGGGCCAAGACGUGAGAAGGGUCUAGAUUGUACUUGCGUAGCAUGGAUACAUGAAACAUAUUAUGGACCUUGAAAAGUUCUGGAGGUAGUGGCAGUCUGUAGGUGGCACUACCAAUUCUGUCUAAAAUCUCGAAUGACCUAAUAAACUGGGGGCUUAGUUUCCCCCUCUUACCAAACCUACUGAUUCUCUUGAAAGGAGUAACCUUAAGGAACACCCGAUCGUCUUUCUCAAAUUUAAAAUCCCUCCUCUAGGUGUCCGCAUAACUUUUCUAUCUGCUUUGAGCUGUUUGAAUGUUCUUCCUGAUCUUAACUACUUUGGCUGUAGUCUCCUUUACAAGGUUUGGACCGAACGGUUUUCUAUCAUCCACUUAUUCCCAACAGAUCGGUG
This 538-nucleotide long non-coding RNA is filed under the name Carica papaya (papaya). RNAcentral's name for it is "long non-coding RNA (CPAP_LNC015882)". The record is from RNAcentral. Lineage: Eukaryota; Viridiplantae; Streptophyta; Magnoliopsida; Brassicales; Caricaceae.